Molecule: ribosomal RNA, 277 nt
Filed under: Enterobacter asburiae
Lineage: Bacteria; Pseudomonadati; Pseudomonadota; Gammaproteobacteria; Enterobacterales; Enterobacteriaceae
Also listed under: 9 other names
Description: partial 16S ribosomal RNA
Rfam family: Bacterial small subunit ribosomal RNA
Source: RNAcentral
CACGGUCCAGACUCCUACGGGAGGCAGCAGUGGGGAAUAUUGCACAAUGGGCGCAAGCCUGAUGCAGCCAUGCCGCGUGUAUGAAGAAGGCCUUCGGGUUGUAAAGUACUUUCAGCGGGGAGGAAGGCGAUAAGGUUAAUAACCUUGUCGAUUGACGUUACCCGCAGAAGAAGCACCGGCUAACUCCGUGCCAGCAGCCGCGGUAAUACGGAGGGUGCAAGCGUUAAUCGGAAUUACUGGGCGUAAAGCGCACGCAGGCGGUCUGUCAAGUCGGAUG